GACGAACGCUGGCGGCGUGCUUAACACAUGCAAGUCGAACGGAAAGGCCCUGCUUGCAGGGUGCUCGAGUGGCGAACGGGUGAGUAACACGUGGGUGAUCUGCCCCUUACUUUGGGAUAAGCCUGGGAAACUGGGUCUAAUACUGGAUAGGACCAUGCUGUAGGUGGUGUGGUGGUAAGAUUAGUUUCGGUAAGGGGUGAGCUCGCGGCCUAUCAGCUUGUUGGUGGGGUAAUGGCCUACCAAGGCGUCGACGGGUAGCCGGCCUGAGAGGGUGGACGGCCACAUUGGGACUGAGAGACGGCCCAGACUCCUACGGGAGGCAGCAGUGGGGAGUAUUGCACAAUGGGCGCAAGCCUGAUGCAGCGACGCCGCGUGGGGGAUGACGGCCGUCGGGUUGUAAACUCCUUUCAGCCAUGACGAAGCCCUUGUGGUGACGGUAGUGGUAGAAGAAGCACCGGCUAACUACGUG
Molecule: ribosomal RNA, 469 nt
Filed under: uncultured bacterium
Lineage: Bacteria
Description: partial 16S ribosomal RNA
Rfam family: Bacterial small subunit ribosomal RNA
Source: RNAcentral